CCGGCGCACGGGUGCGUAACGCGUAUGCAAUCUACCUUUUACAGAGGGAUAGCCCAGAGAAAUUUGGAUUAAUACCUCAUAGUAUUAUGAAAUGGCAUCAUUUUAUAAUUAAAGUCACAACGGUAAAAGAUGAGCAUGCGUCCCAUUAGCUAGUUGGUAAGGUAACGGCUUACCAAGGCUACGAUGGGUAGGGGUCCUGAGAGGGAGAUCCCCCACACUGGUACUGAGACACGGACCAGACUCCUACGGGAGGCAGCAGUGAGGAAUAUUGGACAAUGGGCGCAAGCCUGAUCCAGCCAUGCCGCGUGCAGGAUGACGGUCCUAUGGAUUGUAAACUGCUUUUAUACAGGAAGAAACACUGGUUCGUGAACCAGCUUGACGGUACUGUAAGAAUAAGGAUCGGCUAACUCCGUGCCAGCAGCCGCGGUAAUACGGAGGAUCCAAGCGUUAUCCGGAAUCAUUGGGUUUAAAGGGUCCGUAGGCGGUUUAGUAAGUCAGUGGUGAAAGCCCAUCGCUCAACGGUGGAACGGCCAUUGAUACUGCUAGACUUGAAUUAUUAGGAAGUAACUAGAAUAUGUAGUGUAGCGGUGAAAUGCUUAGAGAUUACAUGGAAUACCAAUUGCGAAGGCAGGUUACUACUAAUGGAUUGACGCUGAUGGACGAAAGCGUGGGUAGCGAACAGGAUUAGAUACCCUGGUAGUCCACGCCGUAAACGAUGGAUACUAGCUGUUGGAAGCAAUUUCAGUGGCUAAGCGAAAGUGAUAAGUAUCCCACCUGGGGAGUACGUUCGCAAGAAUGAAACUCAAAGGAAUUGACGGGGGCCCGCACAAGCGGUGGAGCAUGUGGUUUAAUUCGAUGAUACGCGAGGAACCUUACCAAGGCUUAAAUGUAGUUUGACCGGUUUGGAAACAGAUCUUUCGCAAGACAAAUUACAAGGUGCUGCAUGGUUGUCGUCAGCUCGUGCCGUGAGGUGUCAGGUUAAGUCCUAUAACGAGCGCAACCCCUGUUGUUAGUUGCCAGCGAGUCAUGUCGGGAACUCUAACAAGACUGCCAGUGCAAACUGUGAGGAAGGUGGGGAUGACGUCAAAUCAUCACGGCCCUUACGCCUUGGGCUACACACGUGCUACAAUGGCCGGUACAGAGAGCAGCCACUGGGCGACCAGGAGCGAAUCUACAAAACCGGUCACAGUUCGGAUCGGAGUCUGCAAC
RNAcentral lists this ribosomal RNA (1209 nucleotides) under Flavobacterium sp. ICM 231. Its description in RNAcentral is "bacterial SSU rRNA". It matches the Rfam family "Bacterial small subunit ribosomal RNA", at positions 95 to 1311 of the family's 1533-position model. The record is from RNAcentral. Lineage: Bacteria; Pseudomonadati; Bacteroidota; Flavobacteriia; Flavobacteriales; Flavobacteriaceae.